This 488-nucleotide long non-coding RNA is filed under the name Equus caballus (horse). RNAcentral's name for it is "lncRNA (ENSECAG00000050470.1)". Lineage: Eukaryota; Metazoa; Chordata; Mammalia; Perissodactyla; Equidae. The record is from RNAcentral.
UACAAGGCCUCUCUUAAAACUCUACAUCCAGCAAACUGUGGUACCUCCAUACAAUGGAAUAUUCAGUGAUAAAAGCUGCAGAAUGGACAUCUCAUCCACAGCAGACCAAUCAGCGCUCUUUCCAGUGACAUUCAGAAGAGAAUUAAAGGGAAAAAGACCCUUUCCCUUUUGGUGAGAAACUGAGAAGGUGACUCCUGGAGCUGCGGGCAGCUGUGGUUCCAGCCUUAGCGGAAGAUGUUUAUCUAAAGGAAUGAAGAUGACCUGCAGAGAAAAUUAAAGACACGAACUUAGUCACCAGGUGAAGAAACCCAGGCUAGCCUGCUGGAGACAAGAAGCACCAUUUGCCAGACAUGAGAGGAAGACCACCAGAGAUCAUCUGGCCCACAUCAAGUUAUGCCACAUGAGGGACCCCGGAGAUCAGCAGAAGAACCAUCAGCCUGAACGCAGCCCCAAAUGAUGGUUCACAGUUAUGAGCAAAUGAAAUGGUG